Molecule: transfer RNA, 75 nt
Filed under: Bacteroidales bacterium
Lineage: Bacteria; Pseudomonadati; Bacteroidota; Bacteroidia; Bacteroidales
Description: tRNA-Pro(ggg)
Rfam family: tRNA
About the family: Transfer RNA (tRNA) molecules are approximately 80 nucleotides in length. Their secondary structure includes four short double-helical elements and three loops (D, anti-codon, and T loops).
Source: RNAcentral
CGGGGUGUGGCGCAGUUGGUUUAGCGUGCUUGACUGGGGGUCAAGAGGUCGCGAGUUCGAGUCUCGCCACUCCGA